CCUACGGGAGGCAGCAGUGAGGAAUAUUGGUCAAUGGACGAGAGUCUGAACCAGCCAAGUAGCGUGAAGGAUGACUGCCCUAUGGGUUGUAAACUUCUUUUAUAUGGGAAUAAAACGUUCCACGUGUGGGAUUUUGUAUGUACCAUAUGAAUAAGGAUCGGCUAACUCCGUGCCAGCAGCCGCGGUAAUACGGAGGAUCCGAGCGUUAUCCGGAUUUAUUGGGUUUAAAGGGAGCGUAGGUGGAUUGUUAAGUCAGUUGUGAAAGUUUGCGGCUCAACCGUAAAAUUGCAGUUGAAACUGGCAGUCUUGAGUACAGUAGAGGUGGUCGGAAUUCGUGGUGUAGCGGUGAAAUGCUUAGAUAUCACGAAGAACUCCGAUUGCGAAGGCAGUUCACUGGACUGCAACUGACACUGAGGCUCGAAAGUGUGGGUAUCAAACAGGAUUAGAUACCCUUGUAGUC
RNAcentral lists this ribosomal RNA (460 nucleotides) under uncultured bacterium. RNAcentral's name for it is "partial 16S ribosomal RNA". It matches the Rfam family "Bacterial small subunit ribosomal RNA", at positions 338 to 795 of the family's 1533-position model. The record is from RNAcentral.